Molecule: long non-coding RNA, 2364 nt
Organism: Armigeres subalbatus
Lineage: Eukaryota; Metazoa; Arthropoda; Insecta; Diptera; Culicidae
Exons: 3
Source: RefSeq, a predicted model, not a curated record
CUUUCAAAUACCAGUAGGAUAUAUUUUUUAUUAAAUAGGGUAAAUCACUACUUGGGCCUAUGGACCCGAUUCCCGGCUCACUGCACAGAAAACUAAGGAUUUAUACUUUUUGGAAGCCGUAGGUUUAUGAUUGAUAAUUUUAAAAAAGUCUCCCAUUUAUUUCGCACAAUACUCAAUAUUUUUCAACCAUUUAUUUCACUCCUAAUUGGUCCAAUUAUAGAAAAUAAAAAUGUAGAUUCCGAACAUUCGCUCUCUGUUGCUACACCACUGAGCCGGAGUGAAUCUUUUCACUUUUACAAAACGGUAUUUUCAUAUAAACACCUACCUGAAAAUCGUCACAGUUCUUGAUACAAUCAUUCCUUGAAGCUGUUAAUCACCACACAAUCCCGCACGGAAGGAUGUCUAAAAGCGAACAGGAAUCUACCUGAAUAGGACGCAAACCACCUUAGCCAAGUUUCAAAAUAAGUUUGGACCCAAACCAAAUGUAUAAUUCCCCUUGAUUUUUUCGAGUGUAUUUGUUUACCUCCUACAUACUCACUGUUGAAUCGGUUUAGCCGGUUUAGCUGUUUAGUAUAGAUCUGAGAUAUUGUCUCGCGCCUUUUGCAGUCGCCAAUUUUCUACUCCCGAAUUCAGAUCGGAAAAGCAGCUGAGAAAUUAUUUAUCUCGAAAAUUGUUCAUGCUCAGUGGUUGCGUGGUAACCAGUUUAUUUAGUAAGAACUGUUAAAAAUAAUUACGGGAUUCGACGGAUUCGACUCGUGCGUUUUGGCGGAGGGGGCAAUGGCAGUGUAAGUGGUCAGCGGAAAAGAUCGAUGGCGUUGCGGCACGUGGAAAAAUUAUACCGUGAACCCGGCCACCAGCAAGGAAGAUGUCAUUGCCCUCGAAAGGUUCCUUGAAAAUAAGAGCUCCUUGUCAAUUGCUACGGUACGAGACUGCUUUGUCUAGUCGUUUUCAGUUCCGGUACCAGCAUAAAUAGUAGUGGAAGCCUGAGCCGCCUUCAAUGGCGUCAUCCUCUUCGUCGAUUUCUUCAUAUCAUCAUUUCCGGGUGUACCUUGAAAGCCGGCGGAGAUAGGGCGAACUGAGUUCCAUACAGGCUGUGAUACAGUUAUAAACCGUUCGGCAAGAAAACAGCUGGUGCUAUGUAAAAUGUACUCCACCUUCGGUAAGGAAUAUAUCAGCAGAAAAGGACGGUUAGGAAAGUUCCGAUCAAUGCUUGCCGAUUGACGUGAAUGUCUGACAACACGGUUCUGAGCAGCGUAACAUGGGACUAUAGCAUAUAUAUUUAUGAAGCUGUCGGUCAGGAUUACUUGGAUUCGGACAGAAUGCGAUUCUCCACCUUGCUUUCUGAUAUGCAUUACAUAUAAUCGGACUAGCGCUUCUUGCUUCCAAUGGGGCCAGACAACAAUUACGCUGGAGUUCGGUCGCAGUCUUGAGGCAACGGACAGUGUCAUAGUGAGGCAUAGUGGAACUAUUUGAUUUGAACCAGAAUUGCAUCCCGGUGGAAAUCCGGUUUGCGACAUCUGGCGGUAAAUACCAUCUGAGGCGACCCCAAAACCGAAGGGGAAAUCCCUGGAUACACGUGGGCGGACACAUCCCGUGAUGAUCGUGACCCAAGUGACCACACGUCGAUUUCAUUGGGACGAGACGUUCUCCGACACAAUCCAAUCGGCGAUGAUACCUGAAAUCGCGAUGACGUGACUCCGUAUGCCAUUCCGUCCCACUACACUUGGGAAUAUUUUAUAGAUCAUCAAACAACUCCGCCGGAUAACCACUUAUUGGCCAUCGUAUAUAUGUAAUUGGCGAUUUCCAAAUGCGGGUGCGCAAUAAAAACCGAGAUUAUUAAUAAAUGUAAAGAAAAAAAAUCAUUUAGAAAUAUAUUUUUUUAUCAAAUUCGAAAUAUAAUGUAAACAUUAGUAAAAAAAAUAAUAAGAAGAAUCGAGGUAUCCAUAUCUCCAUAAUUUCUAGUAAAAAUCUAGGAGAACUGUGGUACCCAUGUCUUCUAGAUAUCUCCGCGUUAUCUAAGAGAACCGAUAUGUCAAAUCCCUUUCGGUUCAAACGGUUUACUCGUCUAAAAUUUGAGGUAGACACCGGUGCAAACGGUUGUUGCAUUUGAGGCGGAUUUGAGGUGUGACAGGUUCUAGAUAUCGAAGAAAAAUAUCUAGGAGACUCAACUUUUUGUCUCAGAGAUAUCGCGGAGAUGUCUAGAACAAAUUUCCGAGCGGGAUAAUUCUAAGCUCACACACUUUAAUCUUUUCUAUUUGUUCGUUUCACAAGAACUAAUAUAAACAUAUUAGAAUACAUUUAAAAAUGUAUUCUCAAACCGAACAAAAAUUCACCUCGGCAUAAGAACUACUAGCCGCACCGUGC